UACGUAGGGGGCAAGCGUUGUCCGGAUUUAUUGGGCGUAAAGAGCGUGUAGGCGGUUUGGUAGGUCCGCUGUGAAAACUCGAGGCUCAACCUCGAGACGCCGAUGGAAACCAUCAGACUAGAGUCCGGAAGAGGAGAGUGGAAUUCCUGGUGUAGCGGUGGAAUGCGCAGAUAUCAGGAGGAACACCGGUGGCGAAGGCGGGUCUCUGGGCAGUAACUGACGCUGAGGAGCGAAAGCGUGGGGAGCGAACAGG
This 253-nucleotide ribosomal RNA is filed under the name uncultured bacterium. Its description in RNAcentral is "partial 16S ribosomal RNA". It matches the Rfam family "Bacterial small subunit ribosomal RNA", at positions 524 to 776 of the family's 1533-position model. The record is from RNAcentral.